This 372-nucleotide ribosomal RNA is filed under the name uncultured organism. Its description in RNAcentral is "bacterial SSU rRNA". It matches the Rfam family "Bacterial small subunit ribosomal RNA", at positions 526 to 896 of the family's 1533-position model. The record is from RNAcentral.
CGUAGGGGGCAAGCGUUGUCCGGAUUUACUGGGCGUAAAGCGCGCGUAGGCGGAGCGUUAAGCGUGCCUUGAAAGCCCCCGGCUCAACCGGGGAAGGUGGGUGCGAACUGGCGCUCUUGAGGGCGAUAGAGGGGGGCGGAAUUCCUGGUGUAGCGGUGAAAUGCGUAGAGAUCAGGAGGAACACCCGUGGCGAAGGCGGCCCCCUGGGUCGGCCCUGACGCUGAGGCGCGAAAGCGUGGGGAGCGAACGGGAUUAGAUACCCCGGUAGUCCACGCCGUAAACGAUGGUCACUAGGUGUUUGUGGUAUCGACCCCACAAGUGCCGCAGCUAACGCAAGAAGUGACCCGCCUGGGGAGUACGGCCGCAAGGUUG